RNAcentral lists this ribosomal RNA (460 nucleotides) under uncultured Treponema sp. RNAcentral's name for it is "partial 16S ribosomal RNA". It matches the Rfam family "Bacterial small subunit ribosomal RNA", at positions 341 to 792 of the family's 1533-position model. The record is from RNAcentral. Lineage: Bacteria; Pseudomonadati; Spirochaetota; Spirochaetia; Treponematales; Treponemataceae.
ACGGAAGGCAGCAGCUAAGAAUAUUCCGCAAUGGACGAAAGUCUGACGGAGCGACGCCGCGUGGAUGAUGAAGGUCGGAAGAUUGUAAAAUCCUUUUAUGACUGAGGAAUAAGUAAGGUGAGAGAAACGCCUUAUGGUGACUGUAGGUCAUGAAUAAGCAACGGCUAAUUACGUGCCGGCAGCCGCGGUAACACGUAAGUUGCGAGCGUUGUUCGGAAUUAUUGGGCGUAAAGGGCAUGUAGGCGGUUUUGCAAGCUUGGUGUGAAAUCUCGGAUCUCAACUCCGAAAUUGCGUUGAGAACUGCAUAACUAGAGUCACUGAGGGGCAAUCAGAAUUCCAGGUGUAGGGGUGAAAUCUGUAGAUAUCUGGAAGAAUACCAAUGGCGAAGGCAGGUUACCAGCAGAUGACUGACGCUGAGGUGCGAAGGUGCGGGGAGCAAACAGGAUUAGAUACCCUGGUA